CAGUGGAGAAAAGGGAAAUUUGUACAAAUGGGACGACAGACGGUGAUAGACCAGAGCGAGGAGCAAACUAAAAACUGAUGGAAAACACAGAAGACAAGGCACAAGGCUAACUGGAGACAGGAGUCAAUUAUGCAACAUGCCAAAGUGUACUUUUUCUUUCAUUAUGGUUGUCACAGUUACAGCCUGUCAGGCGUACGAAGGACAUCCAAGGUCCCAUGGGUGACAGGGUGGAUUGGGUGCACUGACUGAAACACUAUGUGUUUGCUGAGUAGACUACAGUCUGACACGCUGGAAGACUUUUGACUAUUUUUCCACACAAUAACCAACUUCUUUCUUUCACCAACUACCAGAGUCUACACUCUAAAAUCUAGUAGAAAUCCUGUCGAAUCUCUCACAAUCUAAUACCACUUUUAGCAAAUGACGGGAUGGCUUCCAAGCAUACUGACAUAGAUGUUUAGCUAUCUGACAGAUCCACUGUGGCCGCAAUCCUCAACUCCCUUUCCUGUCACCAUGAUAGUGGUAUGUUUUGUAGGACGUACAUAUCAACAAAUUAGCUGUCUAUUUCCAACAUACGAUUGUUGCCAUGGCUGCAUUUGCUGAGUGCCUGGCUGAAGUCGAUUCCCCUGACAUAUCCAACAGUCUAGUUUAAUAUUUAUGAUUUCAGAUCUGAGUGACCUUCACAGAAAAAAAAAAAAAUUUAAAGUCUGUAUAAAAUGCUGAUCAUUUUGUGCCUCUUCUCUUUCAGCAGCUGAGUCAACCAUGUGGAAAAAAUCUCAGAGCAAUGAAGCCAUGAAAUAGUAUGCAAUUUCUGGAACACUACAGUUAUUAAAAAGGCCCAAUCGCCCUUUUAUCCCCGCUCUUUCAAAUCCUGCUUCUCCUUUAUUGUUGGAUUUCAGCCAUGCAGAUGUGCAGGGCUCAUUUUUUCCCCCAGCUCAGCUGCCUAUUCCUUAUUCUCUUCAGUCACCUAACAUUGGCAUAUUUAUGUUGGCCCCGUCUUCAAAGGUCAGACAAUCCCUGAAGCACCUGUUAUUUACAGCUGCAAGAGUCCAUAUUCACAACAGGCUUGUGUGAAGGUAAGGUAGGAGACAGAUGGCUGCUGCGACCUCCUUACCUAUCCAUGUGACAGAUCAUCCAUACUGAUGAAAAUAUUUACACGGCAGAGGAUUGACUCUGAUGCCAGCAAGGUAAAAUGUGCUGCAGCAGCUAUGAAAAAGACGCUGCAAUCAAGAGAAAACACGAGUCCUUAUUUAAACUGUUAUUCUACGACAAAUAAAAAUUGCUGCAGGAAGUAGAGUUUCAGCAAAUACAUGAAUGAUCCAAAUCAAGUAAACACAACACCAUUAUCUUCUACAAGAAGGUCAAGUCAAUCAAAAUCCUCAAUGAGUUCGUUAACGAGUCAGUUAUUUGAACGGCUCUUUACAACACUGCGUAACACCGAGUUACACACCCCCUCAAGAGAUGAAUGUUGCCGACCGCUUGCUUCUCUAGUUUUACCAACUGAGGUCUCGCUACAAACAAGCGGGUGCUGGAGGAGAGUGGGUAAGUUGUGUUUAGUCUCUUUGCUAAAGAAAUUAGGCAAAGCUAAAAAGAUGUUUGGUGGCUAGCGCUGUGGCUAGGACCCUAUAUGUACUUUUGAUGAAGUUAGGUGCUGUUCUGAGCAUUAUUUGUGGCUAUAGAGUGGCGUUUUGGUUGAGGUUUGUUGAUGGCUCCUCAGACUGCUGUGUAUUGCUAUCUUGUGGUCGUUACUAAAGUUGGUAUAACUAGAGAAGCAAGCGGUUGGCAACAUUCAACUCAUCGUUUGCACGCCGUUUUCAUGUGCAAACCGCCUAUGCUGCCUUCACGUGUCACCUGUAUGCCCCAAACGCCAGGCAAGGUAGUACGACUUUGUUUUAACAUUUUUAUCAAGUCUUAAUUUUUAUCAGUUAUCUGUAUCCUGCAUAGUUUUUAUUGUACCACAAAGUUUUUUGGUGAGGGAAAAAUUCAAAACAGUAAUCUCAAUGUCAAAGCAUGGGAAUAUGGCACCACAUCAUGGAAUGUAUACAAUAUAUACAAUGAAAACACAAGCCAAAUGAAGUUAUAAUCAAUAUUUCGGAAUAAUUCCCACCUUUGUGUACCCUUGGCUGACUUCUGAAAAAUAAAUAAAUCAAACAAUAAGUCGGUCUUUUCAAACGGCUCUUUGACAGCAACGACUCCUCAAGAUCUAGUAUAAAUCCCAGCUCUAAUUCACGCUGCUUUCAGGACCACAAAAACAAAGCUCAGAUAAAGCUUUAUGGCGUAUAGGACCAGGACCGAGGCAUGAAGGCAGUCAGAGCUCACCUGCAUGCAGCUGAACCCAGCCAUUGUUUUGUUUAUGAGGUUCUCUUUUGUUUAGGAAGAAGUGUUUCCUGUCAUUAUAUGAAAUUAUUUCGGAAAUUGUUUCAGUUAGAGCGGUGCUUGACAUUAUUGUUAAUCUUCCAUGCUCGGUGAGGGACAAACUACUGUAAGUGUUUGCUUGGGCAUACAAAGGUAGCAACACAGUGGAAAUUAUUUUUACAGUUUUUCUUCUUUCAAAACAAAAGAAAAACAGCCUACAACAACAGAGAGGAUAAACAAACAGAAGCUUGCGUAGGAAAAAAAACAUGCUUUUCUGAACAACAGUAUACAACUGUAUGACCUGUUGUUCAUUCCCUUUUCAUAAAAAUCCAUACAUGAUCCAGUUCAGUAAAACAACCAUGAUAACUGUUAAAGGACUGUGAUUGAGUUGGUAUAUCUGACACUUUUGUAAUAUUAAGAAAGACUCGACAUCAAGAUAGGACAAGAUUAAACACUUUUAAGCAACAUUUAGAGAGUUACAGUGGAGAAGAAGAAAAACUUCCUUUUGCAGAACGAGGCUCAUCUCUGACAGUCAUCUACUGCUACUGUGUUAGGAUUAAAUAAAAGAGGCGGAGGGAGAUGCAGAAAAAAGAGGGAUGGAUGGAGACAAGGAAAAUCCACAACGAUUGUACAUAUAGAUGUGUGGUUAAAGUGCUGAAAAUAAUGGAGUAAGUGUGCGACCAAUCUUAGUUUAAUUAGUGACGAUUAAAGUCGGCAUGUCUGUAGUAGUGGCAUAGUGGCAUCGUCCUUUAACAUCUGCAACAAGAUGCUGCAGAUGUUCUAUCAGUCUGUUGUGGCGAGCACAAUCUUCUUUGCUGCGGUGUCCUGGGGCGCGUGCAUCAAGGCAAAGGACGCCAACAGACUGAACAAACUCAUCAGAAGGGCAGAGUCUGUUGUGGGCUCUAAACUUGUCACCCUGGAAGAGGUGGUGGAAGACAGGAUGCUGGCAAAGCUGCUGGCAAUCAUGGACAAUCCCUCCCACCCCCUCUACAACACACUGGACAGGUUGAAGAGCAGCUUCAGCAACAGACUCAUUCAACCCCGCUGCUCUAAGGAAAGAUACAGGAAGUCAUUCCUACCUACUGCAAUAAGACUCUUUAACUCAUCCACCCCUGUUAGAGCCACAGUCACUUACAUGGACUAGCCUGCCAUUCCUACAUUGUUGUUAUAAAUACGGGUACACAUGCUUAGGUUGUAAUUAAGUUAUAUUAAGCACAUAUAAGUAUCAUACAAUAUUUUUAUCACUUUUGCACAUUUCUCCUUUGCACAUCUACACUUACAGAUUCUUUCAUCUAAGCACAUACUAUUUAAGUACUCAUAUUCAUUCAUUAUCUUGUAUAGUCUUGUAUAGCCUUGUAUAGUCUUGUAUAUUUUAUCUAUUUUUUGUAUUUCUCUUGUAUUGCUUGUAUCGGCUACUAUAACAACCGAAUUUCCCCUCGGGGAUUAAUAAAGUUCUCUAUCUAUCUAUCAUCUAUCUAUCUAUCUAUAGUGUGAAUAGAUGCAACGACCAUUUGACAAAUCAUCCAACCAUGUGUCGAUAUGUUUGACCUCCUCAACCUGUGACCUUUACUCAUAGCUUCCUGUUUCCCAGUUACUGUUAUAGUGUUUGAAGCGGAGACGCUGCCAUAUUGGGUGUGUCUGCUUUUUUACCCUUUUACCAAAUGUGAAAAAGUGAAAAUGCAGUCUCAGCAGAUGGCUGUCGUACAUGAGUCUGGUUCUGUUAGAGGUUUCUGCCUGUUAAAGGAAGUUUUUCCUCUCCACUGUAACUUUAUAAAUACUGUAGUGUUUUACAUAAGUGGUUGAAGAUGGGGUGGGAGUGGGUCUGAUCUUACAGGAUGGGGCUCAACCUUAUCUCAUCUUUACAUUGGGGGCUCUAUUUUCGUCCUCGCCAGCGGCAUGGCACAGGCGCGGCACAAGUCAGGUUCGCUGCGCCGAUAAGGUGUACCCAACCACACUUUGGUAUUUUGGUGAGCGGCGCAGCCCGGUGUAAGUACCCCCCCUCCCUUACUCAGCUCCUCCCAGCGGCGUAAGUAGCAGUAAGGGAGGGAAUAAGGCGUGGGGUGGAUUUAACACGGCUGAGUCCUGUUUUUACCAAUCACAUCAGCUCCUCCCCUCACCUUUAAAUCCGCCACCAGCGAGGCGUAUUACAAUUUUCGUGAAGUAGUCCAAGAGACCAAGAGAUGGCUGAAGACAGCAAUGCCACACGAUGGCGAUAGAAGGCAGCCCCUCAACAAGGGCGUCCUCCACACUCUCUCAUAUAAGCACAGAGGGAUUUGGUGUGUGUAAGGUUCGACCCAUAGACUGUCCAUAUACUAAGGACAACUUGGUUCCGCCUACCGCCUGUAUACGGAUUUGAAGCCAAAUAGCUCUCGGUAUUUGUGGGAUUUUUCUUCAUUUCCUGAAACCAGUGGUGCGCAUUCGGGCGCGCAGUCGCUGUGAUGACACUCGGCUCAAACAGCGUAUCCCCCGGGUGAGCUACGCAAUCCCUGAACGCCCAUAGGCUGUAUCAGGUGUCAAUCAUAGCAAACAUGAACACCCUAAUAACUUUUAAAAACGGAGCUUCACAGAAAAAAGAGGACUUGAGCACAAACCAGUCUUACAGUAACUACAUGUCAACAUCACAAGCAGGGGGGAGAAACAUUUAUACUCUGUGUAAUAAAUUUCUAAAGUUUGUCCACAACUCCAUAAGCUUUGCUGGCGGAGGCGGGAUUUAUGACCUAUACUGCAGCCCACCAACAGAGGGUGCUGUUCUCGGGGUGGCUUCACCCAGCAAGGAGGCAGACUCUGUCCAUUCUUUAUACAGUGUAAGGUUGGACCCCCUGGUAAGACAAACACCCUUUUCCACAAGUAAAGACUCUCACAUUAAGUUGCAUAUAUUUAAACCCCACACGACAAAGGUGGGUUGUGUGCACAGAUCACAACAUGAACAAAUUCCAACGACGGCAUUAAAAUCGGAACAACCUUUGCGUACAGGACGCAUCGCGCUCCUUGGCCUGGCUCUAUCAUUAUAUCCAUAUGUGGGCCUAACGCGGAUUGAAUAUUCACAGAAUUUUAAGGAUGUGAGAACAUUAGAUAAUCAGAAUUUUGAAUGAAUUUUUUUUUUUUUUUGUUCAAAUUUUC
RNAcentral lists this long non-coding RNA (5472 nucleotides) under Xyrichtys novacula (pearly razorfish). Lineage: Eukaryota; Metazoa; Chordata; Actinopteri; Labriformes; Labridae. The record is from RNAcentral.